GAUGUCAUCCACAUUGUCCGUUUCCUCGAGUCAUAUAAGUGGCCUUGUUCUCUUUGAUUCCUCAAUCGAUUGGACAAGUACAACACCAAUGUUUUGAAGUGUUCCAUGGUCAGCACCAUUCUGGGGGCAAGAAGUGAUAAGAACCUUCACCAUUCUCCCAUCACAGAAGUAAUCACGGAAUUUUUAGCUUUCAUUAAGAAGAAAUUCUAUUCCAGUUAAUAAGGGCAUCAAUUCUCUCAAGCAGGG
Molecule: long non-coding RNA, 246 nt
Filed under: Jatropha curcas
Lineage: Eukaryota; Viridiplantae; Streptophyta; Magnoliopsida; Malpighiales; Euphorbiaceae
Description: long non-coding RNA (JCUR_LNC001745)
Source: RNAcentral